This 827-nucleotide ribosomal RNA is filed under the name uncultured Acidobacteriota bacterium. RNAcentral describes it as "bacterial SSU rRNA". It matches the Rfam family "Bacterial small subunit ribosomal RNA", at positions 62 to 896 of the family's 1533-position model. Lineage: Bacteria; Pseudomonadati; Acidobacteriota. The record is from RNAcentral.
UCGAGCGAGAAAGUGUAGCAAUACAUGAGUAAAGCGGCGCACGGGUGAGUAACACGUGGAUAACCUGCCUCAAAGUGGGGAAUAACACCGGGAAACCGGUGCUAAUACCGCAUAUUCUGAUGGAGUCUGUGGACUUUGUCAGGAAAGGAGCAAUUCGCUAUGAGAGGGGUCCGCGGCUGAUUAGCUAGUUGGUGAGGUAAUGGCUCACCAAGGCAACGAUCAGUAGCCGGUCUGAGAGGACGGUCGGCCACACUGGAACUGAGACACGGUCCAGACUCCUACGGGAGGCAGCAGUGGGGAAUUUUUCGCAAUGGGGGCAACCCUGACGAAGCAAUGCCGCGUGGAUGAUGAAGUAUUUCGGUACGUAAAAUCCUUUCGACGGGGACGAAACCGCAAGGUUGACGGUACCCGUAGAAGAAGCCCCGGCUAACUCCGUGCCAGCAGCCGCGGUAAUACGGGGGGGGCAAGCGUUGUUCGGAAUUACUGGGCGUAAAGGGUGCGUAGGCGGCUUUCUAAGUUGGAUGUGAAAACUCUGGGCUCAACCCAGAGACUGCAUCCAAAACUGGAGAGCUUGGGUUCUGGAGGGGAAAGCGGAAUUCCUGGUGUAGCGGUGAAAUGCGUAGAUAUCAGGAGGAACACCGGUGGCGAAGGCGGCUUUCUGGACAGAUACCGACGCUGAGGCACGAAAGCUAGGGGAGCAAACAGGAUUAGAUACCCUGGUAGUCCUAGCCCUAAACGAUGGAUACUUGCUGUGAGGGGGAUUGAAACCCUUUGUGGCGAAGCUAACGCAUUAAGUAUCCCGCCUGGGGAGUACGGUCGCAAGGCUG